This 709-nucleotide ribosomal RNA is filed under the name uncultured bacterium. RNAcentral describes it as "bacterial SSU rRNA". It matches the Rfam family "Bacterial small subunit ribosomal RNA", at positions 54 to 750 of the family's 1533-position model. The record is from RNAcentral.
CAUGCAAGUCGAGGGGAAACGAUAUUGGAAGCUUGCUUCCGAUAGGCGUCGACCGGCGCACGGGUGAGUAACGCGUAUCCAACCUGCCCACCACUUGGGGAUAACCUUGCGAAGGUAAGACUAAUACCCAAUGAUAUCUCUAGAAGACAUCUGAAAGAGAUUAAAGAUUUAUCGGUGAUGGAUGGGGAUGCGUCUGAUUAGCUUGUUGGCGGGGUAACGGCCCACCAAGGCGACGAUCAGUAGGGGUUCUGAGAGGAAGGUCCCCCACAUUGGAACUGAGACACGGUCCAAACUCCUACGGGAGGCAGCAGUGAGGAAUAUUGGUCAAUGGGCGAGAGCCUGAACCAGCCAAGUAGCGUGCAGGAUGACGGCCCUAUGGGUUGUAAACUGCUUUUAUAAGGGAAUAAAGUGAGCCUCGUGAGGCUUUUUGCAUGUACCUUAUGAAUAAGGACCGGCUAAUUCCGUGCCAGCAGCCGCGGUAAUACGGAAGGUCCGGGCGUUAUCCGGAUUUAUUGGGUUUAAAGGGAGCGUAGGCCGGAGAUUAAGCGUGUUGUGAAAUGUAGAUGCUCAACAUCUGCACUGCAGCGCGAACUGGUUUCCUUGAGUACGCACAAAGUGGGCGGAAUUCGUGGUGUAGCGGUGAAAUGCUUAGAUAUCACGAAGAACUCCGAUUGCGAAGGCAGCUCACUGGAGCGCAACUGACGCUGAA